This 678-nucleotide ribosomal RNA is filed under the name uncultured bacterium. RNAcentral's name for it is "bacterial SSU rRNA". It matches the Rfam family "Bacterial small subunit ribosomal RNA", at positions 198 to 879 of the family's 1533-position model. The record is from RNAcentral.
GGGGGAAAGAUUUAUCGGGGUAUGAUGAGCCCGCGUUGGAUUAGCUAGUUGGUGGGGUAAAGGCCUACCAAGGCGACGAUCCAUAGCUGGUCUGAAAGGAUGAUCAGCCACAUUGGGACUGAGACACGGCCCAAACUCCUACGGGAGGCAGCAGUAAGGAAUAUUGGUCAAUGGGCGCAAGCCUGAACCAGCCAUGCCGCGUGCAGGAAGACGGCCCUACGGGUUGUAAACUGCUUUUGUACCGGAAUAAACCUUUGGUCGUGACCGAAGCUGAAUGUACGGUAAGAAUAAGGAUCGGCUAACUCCGUGCCAGCAGCCGCGGUAAUACGGAGGAUCCAAGCGUUAUCCGGAUUUAUUGGGUUUAAAGGGUGCGUAGGCGGCCUAUUAAGUCAGGGGUGAAAGACGGUGGCUCAACCAUCGCAGUGCCCUUGAUACUGAUGAGCUUGAAUACACUAGAGGUAGGCGGAAUGUGACAAGUAGCGGUGAAAUGCAUAGAUAUGUCACAGAACACCGAUUGCGAAGGCAGCUUACUAUGGUGUUAUUGACGCUGAGGCACGAAAGCGUGGGGAUCAAACAGGAUUAGAUACCCUGGUAGUCCACGCCCUAAACGAUGAAUACUCGCUGUUAGCGAUAUACAGUUAGCGGCUAGGCGAAAGCGUUAAGUAUUCCACCUGGGGA